Molecule: long non-coding RNA, 1321 nt
Organism: Dromaius novaehollandiae (emu)
Lineage: Eukaryota; Metazoa; Chordata; Aves; Casuariiformes; Dromaiidae
Source: Ensembl
CAAAAGCCUUGCAUUAUUUACUGCUCAUUGGUGCACAGGUGUGAGAGAGGUCAAGGCUGCUUAUAACCUUCUCUGAGAGAACAACAGAAGGCAAAUCUGUAGCUUAAUGGGCUAAAGAAGGAUAUUUCAAGUCCUUGCUGAAUAAAAAUUUCAGUCUGGAUGCAUUUCUGUGCAAACCAGUGCUGAUGUCAUUUCAUUAAAAUGUCCUGAGGUCCCACCACUUGAAGGUCUGCUAAUUGUGAAACUGUGAGAACUACAAAGAAAUGAGUUAAACAGAACAGAGUGUGAAGAGUUUUCACACCUCCAUGCUUAUAAAUAAGCUGAGCCACACAAAGGUCUGGGGAAGAGUUAGAAAUUUCCUUUCUGAGGUGAGGUUUUACUUCAGUAACAUCUGCUGGCUGCCAUACAGUAGCAGAUCAGGCCUGAGUCUGUCAGCCCUUGAAAUCAUCUCAUCCUGGAGGCACUAAAUGACCAGAGUGCUCCUGCGGAUCAACUCAGGRCAACGAGUGGUGCUGGCAAUGAGAGACCUGCUUCCUUGGGGACUCUGCUCCAGCUGGGGAGACAACAUGGGCCCUACCCAGGGCUGCUGGACCCUCUGCUCCAUCCUGCUACUUCGUCUCUCCCAGGCUGUUCUCAUCAAAAUCCCUCAGGAUUUGGUCAAUGGCACUGUUGGCCAGUCCGUGCUCCUGCCCGUCUCCUACAAACUCAGCAGCUYCUCUCACUUCCCACUGCCAUUUCACUGGACAUUCAGUAACCGCUCUGAGCGAAUUGUCACCUGCACGGUGCUGAACUGCUCCCUGAGUGCUGAGGGGACUCCCAAGCACUGCUCUGCAAAACAUUUCCCACACGCCGCAUACCAAGGUCGUGUUGUGCUUUUCCCUGAGAACGCAUCCCUGCUGCUCCGGGACCUGCAGCUCAGGGACAGCGGGGUCUACAGCGUCACCUUCAAACAGCAGAUCCAAACCAGGCGCAUCACCUUAACUGUGUACAGUGAGGCACGUGCUGACACUGAUGCCAGAGGAGGGAGAUCUGGACAGAAAAUCCUUGUUAUUAUUGCUGGAUGCUUCUGUCUGAUCUUGCUGCUUCUGCUGCUGUUCUGCUACGCAUGGCACAGGGGGGCAGUUCUUCAGCUAAUGAGAUGUAUGAAUCAACAGGUCCAAAGUCCUAGUGAGCCCUGGGGAAAAUGGUCGGACACAGAGCUGGAAAGGAUUUACGCAAAUGUCAUCUACUUGGGAAGAGGUAGCUAAAAAACAGUAUUUAGCAAAUGGUAGCCCAAAGGCAAUGUACAAGCGUGGCUAAUAAAGCCGUGGGAGUUGUUCCA